CAGGCGCCUCCUCUGCUCAUGAGUUAAGUUUCCCGGCAGCAGCGUCUCUGAAGUCUCAUCGAGCCCUAAAGGUCAGUCGAUCCGAGCGGAGCUGACUGAAACCAUCCAGGCCUGGAGUUCUGCUUCUGAUCCGCUCAGGCUGGCGGAAAGUGUUCAAAACAUGACUCUGAGCAGUGAGAGCACAGGUCCAUCAGAAAAACUGAGUGAAGCUGUGAAGGAGCUGAGCUUGUGUGUGACUGAACAAGAUGAGCAGAAACUCACAAAGCUCCUUCUGCAGGUGGAAGAAGCUGUUGAGUCAUCUAUUACCAGCCCGUGUAGUGCUUGAAAUGAUAUUUUGCUAACAGAGAAAAGACCAGCAGAAAGGAUUUCUGCAGGGAGUGUGGCAGCAGUUGGCCUCCUCUGCUGUCCUUUCAGCUGUUCCACCUGCUCAAAGGGCUCCAUGCAGAAACACAAAGGGUACAGUACUGCUGAGGAGUUCCACUGCACGCUUCGGAUUCUCAGAAUGCUUCAGUAACCAGAACUGCCAGGGCAGAGGUUGGAAAAAAAAAAGACUUCAGCACUCAGACCUGAUGGUUCGCUGAGGCCAAACCACGCCCCCUGCCGGGAACUUUAAUUUAAACCCUCCUGUUGGGUUUGACGUGUGUCUGAGUUUUUUUUACGUUCUGUCUGAGACUGGUCGGUGUCGUGCGCCUGUCCUGCUUAAUAAGUGCCAGACGUGUCAGCCUUUGUCUUUUCUUUCCCCCUUUUUUUUAAAGAUCAGAUUUUAAAAAGAUGCAGGAACUUUCUGAGUGCGACUCAUCUGAAACAGUGAGGAGCAGAAAGCCCUGACGUUAGAGCGAGUCUUCAGAGUUGUUGGUUGUUUUCUGGAACAUGAAACUGGGAAAUAAGAGGGAACAAGAUGUCAACAGGAGGGGUGUUAGAAAAUAUCGAUACGCUGAAAUAUCACAGUAUUUCAUGUCUUGGUGAUGUAUGGAGUUUUAAUUAAGGCUUAAUGGAUGUUGUAAGAAAACUGUAAAAUACAAAUGCAGUUCUCACUGUUCAGAGUUCCUCUGCAGAAAAAUAAACUGAAUUUGUUCAGAU
Long non-coding RNA from Austrofundulus limnaeus, 1080 nucleotides. RefSeq lists it as uncharacterized. Lineage: Eukaryota; Metazoa; Chordata; Actinopteri; Cyprinodontiformes; Rivulidae. The transcript has 4 exons. The record is from RefSeq and is a predicted model, not a curated record.